GGAGGGUCUAUAGCUCAGUGGUAGAGCAUCUGCCUUUCAUGCAGAAGGUCCCAAGUUCAAUCCCUGGCAUCUCCA
Molecule: non-coding RNA, 75 nt
Organism: Rhineura floridana
Lineage: Eukaryota; Metazoa; Chordata; Lepidosauria; Squamata; Rhineuridae
Source: the annotation of a RefSeq genome assembly